GCUCAGGUAGCCCAAUAGGCAGAGGCAGGGCACUUAAAAUGCCCCCAGUGUGGGUUCGAGUCCCACCCUGAGCA
Molecule: transfer RNA, 74 nt
Filed under: Planctomycetota bacterium
Lineage: Bacteria; Pseudomonadati; Planctomycetota
Description: Planctomycetes bacterium tRNA-Leu
Rfam family: tRNA
About the family: Transfer RNA (tRNA) molecules are approximately 80 nucleotides in length. Their secondary structure includes four short double-helical elements and three loops (D, anti-codon, and T loops).
Source: RNAcentral